ACCGGCGCACGGGUGAGUAACACGUAUCCAACCUGCCGUCUACUCUUGGACAGCCGGUUCUGAAAGGAAGAUUAAUACAAGAUGGCAUCAUGAGUCCGCAUGUUCACAUGAUUAAAGGUAUUCCGGUAGACGAUGGGGAUGCGUUCCAUUAGAUAGUAGGCGGGGUAACGGCCCACCUAGUCUUCGAUGGGUAGGGGUUCUGAGAGGAAGGUCCCUCACAUUGGAACUGAGACACGGUCCAAACUCCUACGGGAGGCAGCAUG
This 263-nucleotide ribosomal RNA is filed under the name uncultured bacterium. RNAcentral describes it as "partial 16S ribosomal RNA". It matches the Rfam family "Bacterial small subunit ribosomal RNA", at positions 94 to 353 of the family's 1533-position model. The record is from RNAcentral.